CGGUCCGCAGGUGGUGCCACUCCUUAGAGAGGUAGUGAGGAUGGAUCUGAGCCGAGAAUAUGGCCAAUAUCAACGCUAGAACAGUCACCAGUAGAAGGCAUAGAAGACCCCUGGAAUGUAACAGCCCAGGAUUCCCACAGAGAUUCCAGCAUAGUCCAGUGCCAACCAGCGGUGACACGUCUUCUCUGAGCGGUGGCAGGAAAAGAGGGGAGAAGUGCUGUGUUGAACCACUCACAAUAGUGCAGCAGAGCGGCCAGAACCACCACAGCAGAACCAGAGCCAGUA
Molecule: long non-coding RNA, 285 nt
Organism: Coregonus clupeaformis (lake whitefish)
Lineage: Eukaryota; Metazoa; Chordata; Actinopteri; Salmoniformes; Salmonidae
Exons: 3
Source: RefSeq, a predicted model, not a curated record